This 344-nucleotide long non-coding RNA is filed under the name Camelus dromedarius (Arabian camel). Its description in RNAcentral is "lncRNA (ENSCDRG00005009986.1)". The record is from RNAcentral. Lineage: Eukaryota; Metazoa; Chordata; Mammalia; Artiodactyla; Camelidae.
CCCCCUCCUACCCGGACUCCGGGGGCACCGCCGGGGGACAGACACCCAGCAGGUUCCCCCAGGCACCAUGCCAGCCCCGUAGAACCACCCACCCCACCCACUGUGGUCUGCUGCACCCCAUUGCUGGGGCACUGGUUCCAAUGAGACAGGGCACACCAAACUCCAUCUGGCUGUUACUGAGGCGGAGACACGGGUGAUGAUUGGCUUUCUGGGGAGAGAGCAAGUCCUGUGAUUGGCCGGGUCUCCGGAGCUCACCGACGCCGGGAGAGGACGCUCCCACGGAGGCCGGGUAAGCGGCCGCGGCGUUUUAGCUCGGCCCCGGUGGCUCCCGGCUGGAAGCCUGG